GACGAACGCUGGCGGCGUGCUUAACACAUGCAAGUCGAACGCUGAAGCUCAGCUUGCUGGGUGGAUGAGUGGCGAACGGGUGAGUAACACGUGAGUAACCUGCCCUCUUCUUUGGGAUAACGCCCGGAAACGGGUGCUAAUACUGGAUAUUCACUGAUUCUCGCAUGGGGGUUGGUGGAAAGGUUUUUUCUGGUGGGGGAUGGGCUCGCGGCCUAUCAGCUUGUUGGUGGGGUGAUGGCCUACCAAGGCUUUGACGGGUAGCCGGCCUGAGAGGGUGACCGGUCACAUUGGGACUGAGAUACGGCCCAGACUCCUACGGGAGGCAGCAGUGGGGAAUAUUGCACAAUGGGCGAAAGCCUGAUGCAGCGACGCAGCGUGAGGGAUGGAGGCCUUCGGGUUGUAAACCUCUUUCGCUCAUGGUCAAGCCGCAGCUUUGGGUUGUGGUGAGGGUAGUGGGUAAAGAAGCGCCGGCUAACUACGUG
Molecule: ribosomal RNA, 482 nt
Filed under: uncultured bacterium
Lineage: Bacteria
Description: partial 16S ribosomal RNA
Rfam family: Bacterial small subunit ribosomal RNA
Source: RNAcentral